CCUACGGGAGGCAGCAGUGAGGAAUAUUGGUCAAUGGGCGGAAGCCUGAACCAGCCAUGCCGCGUGCAGGAAGACGGCUCUAUGAGUUGUAAACUGCUUUUGUACGAGGGUAAACGCAGAUACGUGUAUCUGUCUGAAAGUAUCGUACGAAUAAGGAUCGGCUAACUCAGUGCCAGCCGCCGCGGUAAUACGGAGGAUUCAAGCGUUAUCCGGAUUUAUUGGGUUUAAAGGGUGCGUAGGCGGUCGGAUAAGUUAGAGGUGAAAUCCCGAGGCUCAACUUCGGAAUUGCCUCUGAUACUGUUCGGCUAGAGAGUAGUUGCGGUAGGCGGAAUGUAUGGUGUAGCGGUGAAAUGCUUAGAGAUAAUACAGAACACCGAUUGCGAAGGCAGCUUACCAAGCUACUUCUGACGUUGAGGCACGAAAGCGUGGGGAGCAAACAGGAUUAGAUACCCCUGUAGUC
This 460-nucleotide ribosomal RNA is filed under the name uncultured bacterium. Its description in RNAcentral is "partial 16S ribosomal RNA". It matches the Rfam family "Bacterial small subunit ribosomal RNA", at positions 338 to 795 of the family's 1533-position model. The record is from RNAcentral.